UUGCUUCUGAUGUCUUCUCUUACUGAAAGGAAUCGAAGGGCCGAGGAAUGUGUUUUUCGUUGAUGUCAACUUGCUGCAAAGGACCACACCUGCUUCUCGACCCAGGAACGUGGGAAAGGGAAAGGCAUGGCUUGUUUUGGUGGAGAUGGAGAUGCUGGUAACAGUGGAGGAAUGCCCUCCUUCUGAUUCACAGUGGGGAGGUGCUCUGGGCCCCUGCCACUGCCCAAGGACUUCAGGUAAGUCAGCUCGUGGCCCCUAGCCCUUCCCCGCCAGACGCCCUGGCAGACGGCUUGUUCUGACAAGUAUGCGCUUUCUG
RNAcentral lists this long non-coding RNA (316 nucleotides) under Pan troglodytes (chimpanzee). Its description in RNAcentral is "long non-coding RNA NONPTRT001496". The record is from RNAcentral. Lineage: Eukaryota; Metazoa; Chordata; Mammalia; Primates; Hominidae.